UUGGUCAUGGUAUGAAAUUGAUUGAUUCAUUUGGAUUCAUAGCCUUAGAUGUAGACUCCCUGAGAGUGGUAAUGGAUGUGUACAAUGAUACUCUACCCUAUUGGAAGGAUUCAUGAGUUUUACUUCCCAGGAGGGACGAGAAUAAGUUAUUCCUAAAGUUAAACAUGUAACUCAGACUGUAUGUUGGUAAGGGCAUGAGCUAAGAUUAUGGAAGAUAAGACAGGAUGAUUGAGAUGAAUGAUUUUGGAUGCGAAGUGAUGUCAUCUCUAGAUGUG
This 275-nucleotide long non-coding RNA is filed under the name Lathyrus oleraceus (garden pea). RNAcentral describes it as "Pisum sativum (pea) long non-coding RNA (PSAT_LNC040778)". Lineage: Eukaryota; Viridiplantae; Streptophyta; Magnoliopsida; Fabales; Fabaceae. The record is from RNAcentral.